Long non-coding RNA from Papaver somniferum (opium poppy), 1232 nucleotides. RefSeq lists it as uncharacterized. NCBI's taxonomy places the organism in Eukaryota, Viridiplantae, Streptophyta, Magnoliopsida, Ranunculales, Papaveraceae. The transcript is spliced from 4 exons. The record is from RefSeq and is a predicted model, not a curated record.
GCUCUUUCAACCCAAUCUCCUCCUUCAUUAUUGUUGCAGCAACCAUGGCAAGAAGAAAACAUCCGCCAAUAGUUACGCCAAGCGGACUAAAGGCCCCCUGGUCAAUAAUCACCCAGUUCAAGUUCUGAUAUACUCACUCUCACGCUCAGUCUCUGUCUUUCUAGGAACUAAAUGUCAUUGAGGUUGUCUUUUUUUUCUUUCUUUUUUUUGUUGGUGUUGAAUUUGCGUAAUGUUGUUUUGUAGCAGGCGUCUUAGAGGAAGCCGUAUAGGCAUAAUCAUAUAACAACAUCACUUAAACAGAUACAGAAAUAUCAGAAGAGUAUUGAUUCUUUUGUUACCUGGAGCCCCUUCUUCUUAGAACUGUAGAAACACGAAGGGAUUUCGUACAUGUUAAUGAGCGAGUGCAAGUAAUUGAUAAGGAUGGCAAGUUGGUUCCUAACUUAUGCUGCAAUGGUGAUGCGAAUGGAAAACUAACGCUUGCUCAUGCAGCAAUUGGACAAGGGAUUUCAGGUACUAAUCUUAUUCCAUUGAAUGUUCGCACCGUAUACUGAUUCUUACUUGAAAGCCAUUUAAAUUAUCGGUUAAGUAAUUGUUUUGAGGUGGUGGUGCUGGCCGCUGGGCAUUAUCAGUUAUGAUUGUUUGGUAGCCAAGGAGGCUGUGUAUUCUCUAUCUAGACUACGACAAAAAAUUGUAGAUGAAAAAGAUGCACGCAGCACGCCCCUGCCAUGGUGUAUGUGAAUUUCACAAUUAGUAGAAAGUAGUAAUCUACAUGAAUAGGAGAAUAAACCUCACUCAAUGUUUGUAAAUGUUUUUUUUUUUUUUUCUUUGUCGAGUUAAUGAGAAGAACAUAUAAUUUUUGGUGGAGUGGAGUGAUAUUGCACAAGCUACCUGGGAUCAGAAGAAAAUGUUGAUCCUGAUUUGUUCAAAGAAUUUGGAGUAAACAAUGAAGAGAUUGUUGUUGUGGAGAAGGUUUGAUGGGUGAUUCUGCGUACACAGAGGUUUAGAGAAGUGAAAUAAACAAAAUGGAAAAUAAAGGUUGUUGUGGGGAUCUAAGGCAUGCAAUCUAGCUACAUAGACCACUUCACAGUGUCUGGUUUCUAAUGGCCUUAUCUCAUUCUACAGUCAAGUUUUAUUGGAUUUUUGUAAAUGGUCAGAUUUGAAAUGAAAUGUGGUUUACUUUUACCUGUACAAUGCACAUACUUUCUUCUUUUUAAUACAUUCAAUUUUUUCUA